GUGACAGAUCAGAACAUGGAGAAUCACAGACAGAGGGACAGUGACAGCAGAGAAGCAGAGACAGAUGGCACAACAGGGAUAAAACAGACUCAGAGGCCCAGUUAAAGUGGUGAGUUGUAUCUCCAGACUCCAGUGGUGUUUUAACAUGUAUUUAUUUUAAACAUGAGCUGGUUAAAAAGAGCUGGUUAAAAAAGGAGAAAGACCAUGUUUCUUCACUCACUGGUACAGUAAAGCUUGGGAAUCUCUGUACUAUAGUGUACUACUGAUGUUAUACACCGCAGGUUAGGAGAGUUAGGUUAAGGUUAGGAAAGGGGUUAGGGUUAGCGGAAAUGCUCUCCUAACCUACUACAAAAAUCACUUCCGGUCGUAGCUGUAUCAAGUGUCAAAGAGGGCAACAUUCUCUAAUAACUACAUGCCUAAUUCUGUUUCAUACUUCUCAAAGUUGAUUACUAGCUAAUUCAUUUUUUCUUCAGUGAUUCAAUUCAGUAAGAUAUCAUCAUUUACAAAUUUAAAAGAUUAGAUUUACAUUUACUGAAACACAUGAAUUCAACAGGUCAGUUCAUCUCGAUACUUCAAAACUCCUAAGAACUUCACAAAUCCAGUGUGUGGGUCUUCCAGUGAGUUGGAGAGGAAUGAGGAACCAUGGCACAGUUUGAAACCUUGAUAUGGACUAUACCUAUUAUAUUGGUGCUUGUAAGCAUUGGAUGCUGUAUUGCAUGUGGUAGAGCUGAGUACAGAAUAGGGGAGGAAUGUUGUCCCAUGUGUUCACCAGGUAAGGACACUCUUUACAUCAUAUGAAUCACCAGACAUUAAUACAUCAUCAACACUAACAGAAAAACAUGACAUUGUGAUUCUCUCUUCCCCAGGAAAUCGUGGAUAUAAGCAUUGUACUGAAUUCACCAGCACCAGCUGUGUGCCCUGUGUUGAUUCUACAUUUCUUGAUGAGCCCAAUGGUCUCAUAAAAUGCAAAGUGUGUACCAACUGUGAUGCAGGUUUGGGUUUGAAGGUAAAGCAGCCAUGUACACCUUCAUCAGACACAGUCUGUGGGACACUGGAGGGGUUCUACUGUCUAGACCCAACUAAGGAUGUUUGUAGAGCAGCCCAGAGACACAGCAGCUGUAAACCUGGUCAAUACAUCAGCCAC
Salmo salar (Atlantic salmon) is the source of this 1144-nucleotide non-coding RNA. Lineage: Eukaryota; Metazoa; Chordata; Actinopteri; Salmoniformes; Salmonidae. The record is from RefSeq and is a predicted model, not a curated record.